Molecule: ribosomal RNA, 440 nt
Filed under: uncultured bacterium
Lineage: Bacteria
Description: partial 16S ribosomal RNA
Rfam family: Bacterial small subunit ribosomal RNA
Source: RNAcentral
CCUACGGGUGGCAGCAGUGGGGGAUAUUGCACAAUGGGGGAAACCCUGAUGCAGCGACGCCGCGUGGGUGAAGAAGCGCCUCGGCGCGUAAAGCCCUGUCAGCAGGGAAGAAAAUGACUGUACCUGACGAAGAAGCCCCGGCUAACUACGUCCCAGCAGCCGCGGUAAUACUUAGGGGGCAAGCGUUAUCCGGAUUUACUGGGGGGAAAGGGGGCGCAGGCGGCGAUGCAAGGCAGGAGUGAAAGCCCGGGGCCCAACCCCAGGACUGCAGUUGGAACUGGGUGGCUUGAGUGCAGGAGGGGCAGGCGGAAUUCCUGGUGUAGCGGUGAAAUGCGUAGAUAUCAGGAGGAACACCAGUGGCGAAGGCGGCCUGCUGGACUGCAACUGACGUUGAGGCCCGAAAGCGUGGGGAGCAAACAGGAUUAGAUACCCCAGUAGUC